RNAcentral lists this ribosomal RNA (253 nucleotides) under uncultured bacterium. RNAcentral's name for it is "partial 16S ribosomal RNA". It matches the Rfam family "Bacterial small subunit ribosomal RNA", at positions 524 to 776 of the family's 1533-position model. The record is from RNAcentral.
UACGUAGGGUGCGAGCGUUAAUCGGAAUUACUGGGCGUAAAGCGUGCGCAGGCGGUUUUGUAAGCCAGAUGUGAAAGCCCCGGGCUUAACCUGGGAAUGGCAUUUGGGACUGCAAGGCUGGAGUUUGGCAGAGGAGACUGGAAUUCCUGGUGUAGCAGUGAAAUGCGUAGAUAUCAGGAGGAAUACCGAUGGCGAAGGCAGGUCUCUGGGCUAUAACUGACGCUGAGGAGCGAAAGCGUGGGGAGCGAACAGG